RNAcentral lists this ribosomal RNA (468 nucleotides) under uncultured bacterium. RNAcentral describes it as "partial 16S ribosomal RNA". It matches the Rfam family "Bacterial small subunit ribosomal RNA", at positions 28 to 507 of the family's 1533-position model. The record is from RNAcentral.
GACGAACGCUGGCGGCGUGCUUAACACAUGCGAGUCGAACGGAAAGGCCCUGCUUUUGUGGGGUGCUCGAGUGGCGAACGGGUGAGUAACACGUGAGUAACCUGCCCUUGACUUUGGGAUAACUUCAGGAAACUGGGGCUAAUACCGGAUAGGAGCUCCUGCUGCAUGGUGGGGGUUGGAAAGUUUCGGCGGUUGGGGAUGGACUCGCGGCUUAUCAGCUUGUUGGUGGGGUAGUGGCUUACCAGGGCUUUGACGGGUAGCCGGCCUGAGAGGGUGACCGGCCACAUUGGGACUGAGAUACGGCCCAGACUCCUACGGGAGGCAGCAGUGGGGAAUAUUGCACAAUGGGCGGAAGCCUGAUGCAGCAACGCCGCGUGCGGGAUGACGGCCUUCGGGUUGUAAACCGCUUUCGCCUGUGACGAAGCGUGAGUGACGGUAAUGGGUAAAGAAGCGCCGGCUAACUACGUG